GAUAAACGCUGGCGGCGUGCCUAAUACAUGCAAGUCGAGCGAACGGACGAGAAGCUUGCUUCUCUGAUGUUAGCGGCGGACGGGUGAGUAACACGUGGAUAACCUACCUAUAAGACUGGGAUAACUUCGGGAAACCGGAGCUAAUACCGGAUAAUAUUUUGAACCGCAUGGUUCAAAAGUGAAAGACGGUCUUGCUGUCACUUAUAGAUGGAUCCGCGCUGCAUUAGCUAGUUGGUAAGGUAACGGCUUACCAAGGCAACGAUGCAUAGCCGACCUGAGAGGGUGAUCGGCCACACUGGAACUGAGACACGGUCCAGACUCCUACGGGAGGCAGCAGUAGGGAAUCUUCCGCAAUGGGCGAAAGCCUGACGGAGCAACGCCGCGUGAGUGAUGAAGGUCUUCGGAUCGUAAAACUCUGUUAUUAGGGAAGAACAUAUGUGUAAGUAACUGUGCACAUCUUGACGGUACCUAAUCAGAAAGCCACGGCUAACUACGUGCCAGCAGCCGCGGUAAUACGUAGGUGGCAAGCGUUAUCCGGAAUUAUUGGGCGUAAAGCGCGCGUAGGCGGUUUUUUAAGUCUGAUGUGAAAGCCCACGGCUCAACCGUGGAGGGUCAUUGGAAACUGGAAAACUUGAGUGCAGAAGAGGAAAGUGGAAUUCCAUGUGUAGCGGUGAAAUGCGCAGAGAUAUGGAGGAACACCAGUGGCGAAGGCGACUUUCUGGUCUGUAACUGACGCUGAUGUGCGAAAGCGUGGGGAUCAAACAGGAUUAGAUACCCUGGUAGUCCACGCCGUAAACGAUGAGUGCUAAGUGUUAGGGGGUUUCCGCCCCUUAGUGCUGCAGCUAACGCAUUAAGCACUCCGCCUGGGGAGUACGACCGCAAGGUUGAAACUCAAAGGAAUUGACGGGGACCCGCACAAGCGGUGGAGCAUGUGGUUUAAUUCGAAGCAACGCGAAGAACCUUACCAAAUCUUGACAUCCUUUGACAACUCUAGAGAUAGAGCCUUCCCCUUCGGGGGACAAAGUGACAGGUGGUGCAUGGUUGUCGUCAGCUCGCGUCGUGAGAUGUUGGGUUAAGUCCCGCAACGAGCGCAACCCUUAAGCUUAGUUGCCAUCAUUAAGUUGGGCACUCUAAGUUGACUGCCGGUGACAAACCGGAGGAAGGUGGGGAUGACGUCAAAUCAUCAUGCCCCUUAUGAUUUGGGCUACACACGUGCUACAAUGGACAAUACAAAGGGCAGCGAAACCGCGAGGUCAAGCAAAUCCCAUAAAGUUGUUCUCAGUUCGGAUUGUAGUCUGCAACUCGACUACAUGAAGCUGGAAUCGCUAGUAAUCGUAGAUCAGCAUGCUACGGUGAAUACGUUCCCGGGUCU
RNAcentral lists this ribosomal RNA (1372 nucleotides) under uncultured bacterium. RNAcentral's name for it is "bacterial SSU rRNA". It matches the Rfam family "Bacterial small subunit ribosomal RNA", at positions 28 to 1381 of the family's 1533-position model. The record is from RNAcentral.